This 1848-nucleotide long non-coding RNA is filed under the name Homo sapiens (human). RNAcentral's name for it is "non-protein coding lnc-ORMDL2-1:9". The record is from RNAcentral. Lineage: Eukaryota; Metazoa; Chordata; Mammalia; Primates; Hominidae.
CUCUUACCUGCUAUAUAGUUGGGGGUCUCUGGUCCUGGACUAGAGCAGUAGGCAACCUGGGUCCCCCCACACACACGGGAAAGAAUUGGAGGGGCCUGCCUUGUGAUGUCACCCCUCCUCCCCCCACCGCGCGCACGCGCGCGCGCACACACACAAACACAAACACACACCCCAACACACACGCCCUGUCCCCUUUCUCCACCCUGCAAGCUAGUUGCAUUUAGCUCACAGAGCCUGGGCUGCGACUUGAAAGAGUUUAGGCAGCAACAGAGUGACCCUGGGGGUGCUCUUGACCGACAGCCGCACCCCCGGCGUCUAGGACCUCCGAGCAGGGAUGCAUCUGGAGGUCUAGGGAAGCACUUCCACCCCCUCCUCUCCUCAAUCCUGGCAGGAUGGCUACUGCUGCUUCAAGACAGUGACGUUUCUCUCCGGUCAGCUGUCAGGAGCGCUGCUGGGUCUUACUGGGGAUCUGGCCAGCCUUGGGGGCCCUUGGAGCCCUGGCCCAGUGGAAGCUCGUGCCUGAGGAACAUGGAGGCCACGCUAAUGAGUUACUUCCAGAGUCUUCAAGAGUGCCAACUGGGACCAGGACCCCAGACCACAGCCCCCCACACCGUCCUGGACCUGGAUUCUGACUGUGGUUCCACUGUACCCCUCACCUUAAUCUCUGGUUCUAACCAGACCUGAGCCUAGACUUCCACUUUUUCCCUUACCCCUGUGAGGGCCUGGGAACACUAGGUGGGCAGGGUUUGAGCCCACAGGACCUGCACACAAACUUCCCCACCUCUUGGACUUGGGGACAGGAUCUGUGCCUCAACCCAGACCAGCUUUGUAGGGAUAUGUUCCAAGAACAGAGAAGAGUCUUAUGGGGAAGGGGGAGGAAGGGAAGUAUGAAUAUUUACCUCUGACCAAUAAUAGAGGUGCCCUGGUCCCCAAAGAAAUUGACUCCCGAAUUCCCUCCAAGCCUUACCCAUAUAGCUUUUGUUUGUUUGUUUGUUUUCAGACAAGGUCUUGUUCUGUCCAGUGCCGUGGCGUGACCACAGCUCAUGACAACUUUGAUUUCCCCGGCCCAAGCGAGCCUCUCAUUCAGCCUCCUGAGUGGCUGGGACCACAGACGCCACACACAGCUAAUUUUUAUGUAUUCGUUUUUAUUUUUUUGCAGAGACAGGGUCUCCCUAUGUUGCCCAAGCUGGUCUUGAACUCCUGGGCUCAAGUGAUCCUCCUGCUUCAGCCUCCCAAAGUGCUAGGAUUAUAGCCACCGCACCUCGUCUUGAAAUAGCCUUUUAAAUGUUCACCUCAGCUUGCCUCACAGUGGUAAAAAUAAGCAUUUUUUUGUUUUGUAGGAUCAGGGAGCUUCCAAGGCAUUUGAUACCUUUUUGAUGGGAAGAAGGGCUCUGAGGAGCUCCAAGAUACCCCAACCUCCAGGCCCUUCAUUAGGGGGUAGUUGGGUUUCUGUUUGGCCUUUCCCCCUGGGCCCCAUAGGCUUAAACUACCCCCACCCCCACCUCCGCCUCCUACCUCAGCUGGGAGCACUGUCUUCCAUGGGGCUUCCACUUCUCUCCUCAACCUGGGGAAGACCACAGGGCAGUGCCUGCCUCAGGACCUGCCUUCCCCAAAAGCUGGCUUCUUGCUCCAAGGAGAGAGCAUUGACCCACCUGCCAGAGUCUUGCCUUUUGCCCAAAGGAGCCUGGUCUUCAGGGCUGCAUAGGAUGCAAGUGCCUUCUCUGCUUCUCACCGGUCUGUUCCUGGUUUCCCAGAUGCAUAAAGGAAGACAUAUCCCUCCCCUGGGCAGCAAGGCUACAAUGGGAGGGAGGGAGAACAUGGGAGCAUGUGAAUAAAAUGGCAUUAAAU